Stomoxys calcitrans (stable fly) is the source of this 2077-nucleotide long non-coding RNA. RefSeq lists it as uncharacterized. The transcript has 3 exons. NCBI's taxonomy places the organism in Eukaryota, Metazoa, Arthropoda, Insecta, Diptera, Muscidae. The record is from RefSeq and is a predicted model, not a curated record.
UUGAAAAAUAUCAUUUUUUAAGUUAAAAAAAAAGUGUCGUAGCCAUCAAUGCCAUUGUACUUUUUGGGAAUUAUAUGCUACCCAAUUCCUUAAAAGCCGGCACUUUACACACCCAUACAUACUUGGCUAUGUAGGCAAAGCACAUUGUCUUUUUUUUUAUUUCGGGCUCUGCUCUCAAUGCACAGUCAGCAUCGACAUCUCUUUCCCCAGUUUGAUUUUUUUCCUCCAUCAACCCCUCCCUAAAAUGAGAGAAAAACUACUAUAUACGCUUGUUAACCGGACAAAUGCAUCCAAUAUGCCGACACUCUCUCUCGCGUACUAACACUCAACCACAUAUCCACAAACAUUUGUUUAGUCACCACCGCCCGUCAUCUGCUUUAGCUGUAAAACCGGCUUUUAUUUAUUUAAGCACGACUCUUGGAUGUGCCUUUUUUUGUAUUGUAUUUUCUCCCCAUUGUUAUUCUCUUGAGACAAUAAAGAUGCGAGUUCAUGUGUGUGUGUGCACAUAAAUAUCUCCGGAAGAAUUUAAUUUUGGUGCAACAACUUAACAUAUAGGAACUUGCACCAAAUGCACACACAAUAAAUGUUAAAAAUAUUUGGCAAGUGAUUCUUUUAGCAAUAAAAUGAUACUACUUACAAAUUUAUAUAAGGAUAUACAUGAAUACUUAGCUAACUUAUAUGGAAAGAACAUUAAAUAUGCUAUUGAAAGAACAUUAAAGAACAUUAAAUAUGGCUAAUAAGCACAAAACUCGCAUACCGGAAACUACUAUUAUACAAACAAAAUCUAAUUUUGGCAACAGUUUCAUUAAACUCCAUUUUUAAUAAAAUUCUACAUGCCUCCUAAAAACGUAAAAAAGAUCGCACAGGAAGAUAACCAAUUUUUCAUAAAAAAAUAGUAAGUUCCUGCAGUCCUUUUAGAGAUGGCAUUCACGAUGUUUAGAUUUUGAUAUCAUAGGCUUAAAAGGGAUUAGGGGUUGUUUACACUAUUAGGUAAAUCUGUUGAUUUUAAAAUAGCUGUGUUCGGGAACUCCAAAAGGCAGAGAUUCUAGGCAGCAGCUAGUGUUCAGGCAUAGAAAACUCGCCAAAUGAAGUUUUAAUUUUACCUCAAGGCGGUUGUUCUACAUUAGAAGACUCCAAGAAAGUAGCAAUGAUCGGUUUCUUAAGUGUUUUGAUGGAAUCAUCCUCAUCAGAGAGCUACGAUGAAAAUGAAUGAAAAUGAGGGAAGAUGCUGCCAUGGUAUUUAGUGGGUCUGGCUGGGCAGUUAAAAGUUACGCACAGUGGAAUUGGAAAAAAUAGUGUAAAUUUCAAAAUAUCUUCAAUGGAAACACAGUGUCCGUAGCCGUUGCAUGACCAAAUAGAAAACUACCUUAGCCUCACAUCAGUGGUCGCAGCAAUUUGUCUAGCCACAAUAUCCAGUAGCAUUAGGUGCUUAGUCCAAGGUUCCUUUGUCAGCACACCAAGUACUGCCGAACAGGGAAUUGAGAACGUUGUUUCUACUUUUGCGUACGGUGAUCGCAUGUAAAGCAGUUGUAGGCCUAUGCAGCCUUCGAAAUUCAUGCUGAUAGUCGCCGAAUGGAAAUUGUCCAACGGGAGGAUCGGAAGGAGUAGUCCCUAAUGCGUCUUGGCUACUGAUGAAAGAAGACAGAUCGGUCUGUACGACUUCCCCUUGCUCGUGUCAUUUCCAGGUUUCAGUAGCGGGAUCAGACUGUCCAUCUUCCAAACAUCAGGUACUACAAUAGUGUUCUGACAGUUGUAAGGUACUCAACUCCAGGCAAAUCCAGAUUCUUCAACAUCAGUGUAGAGAUUCCGUCUGGGACCAGCGCCUUGCGCAACUUGGUGCUACAUCACGAAUACUACGAAUGGCUUCCCUUCUAGCCUUGUUACUCUAGGGCCAAAAAUCAAUCGUUAACCUAAUGAGAAUACCUCGCAACUAUCGCAUUUUUAUAAGCAUUUUUUAUUUAAAACAAUUGUUUUCCCAAGCAAGCAAAUAAAAAACCAACCAAAACAAAAAUCAGCUGUUAUUCUCCAAAUUUUUACUGGAAGUCAUUCGCGUACUUUUGCUUGCAAAUUUUUUAAA